AUUGAGCGCUGGCGGCAUGCCUUACACAUGCAAGUCGAACGGCAGCACGGGAGUAAUCCUGGUGGCGAGUGGCGAACGGGUGAGUAAUGUAUCGGAACGUGCCCAGUCGUGGGGGAUAACGUAGCGAAAGCUACGCUAAUACCGCAUACGAUCUAUGGAUGAAAGCGGGGGAUCGCAAGACCUCGCGCGAUUGGAGCGGCCGAUAUCAGAUUAGGUAGUUGGUGGGGUAAAGGCUCACCAAGCCGACGAUCUGUAGCUGGUCUGAGAGGACGACCAGCCACACUGGGACUGACACACGGCCCAGACUCCUACGGGAGGCAGCAGUGGGGAAUUUUGGACAAUGGGCGCAAGCCUGAUCCAGCAAUGCCGCGUGCAGGAUGAAGGCCUUCGGGUUGUAAACUGCUUUUGUACGGAACGAAACGGCGAGCUCUAAUACAGUUUGCUGAUGACGGUACCGUAAGAAUAAGCACCGGCUAACUACGUGCCAGCCGCCGCCGUAA
RNAcentral lists this ribosomal RNA (500 nucleotides) under uncultured bacterium. Its description in RNAcentral is "partial 16S ribosomal RNA". It matches the Rfam family "Bacterial small subunit ribosomal RNA", at positions 30 to 523 of the family's 1533-position model. The record is from RNAcentral.